GACGAACGCUGGCGGCGUGCCUAAUACAUGCAAGUCGAACGAGAGCGACCGGUGCUUGCACUGGUCAAUCUAGUGGCGAACGUGUGUGUAACACGUGGGUAACCUGCCCAUCAUAGUGGGAUAACAUCCGGAAACGUAUGCUAAAACCGCAUAUUUCUUCUAACCGCAUGGUUUUUUGAGGUAAAUAGUCUCUUGCUUCUGCUGCUGGUUGGACCCGCGGUGCAUUAGCUAGUUGGUGAGGUAACGGCUCACCAAGGCCGUGAUGCAUAGCCGACCUGAGAGGGUGAUCGGCGACAUUGGGACUGAGACACGGAACAAAGUACUACGGGAGGCAGCAGUAGGGAAUAUUCCGCAAUGGACGCAAGUAUGACGGAGCAACGCCGCGUGAGUGAAGAAGGUUUUCGGAUCGUAAAACUCUGUUGUUAGAGAAGAACAAGUGCUAGAGUAAAUGUUAGCGGAUUGACGGUAUCUAAAAAGAAAGCCACGGCUAACUACGUG
This 498-nucleotide ribosomal RNA is filed under the name uncultured bacterium. Its description in RNAcentral is "partial 16S ribosomal RNA". It matches the Rfam family "Bacterial small subunit ribosomal RNA", at positions 28 to 507 of the family's 1533-position model. The record is from RNAcentral.